Pelodiscus sinensis (Chinese soft-shelled turtle) is the source of this 114-nucleotide regulatory RNA element. It matches the Rfam family "Potassium channel RNA editing signal". From Rfam's summary of the family: This family represents a group of sequences related to the human potassium channel Kv1.1 hairpin element which directs the efficient modification of an adenosine to inosine by an adenosine deaminase acting on RNA (ADAR). The record is from Rfam. Lineage: Eukaryota; Metazoa; Chordata; Testudines; Trionychidae.
GUUGGCUAUGGAGACAUGUGUCCUACCACCUUGGGUGGGAAGAUAGUUGGGACCCUUUGUGCUAUUGCAGGGGUGUUAACCAUUGCGCUGCCUGUUCCAGUCAUUGUCUCUAAC